GGCAGUUCUGAGGUGAAGCACCCCAGAAUCAGGCUCCCUUCUCUCUAGUUCCGGGUGUCACCCAAGAACCGCC
Molecule: non-coding RNA, 73 nt
Organism: Myotis davidii
Lineage: Eukaryota; Metazoa; Chordata; Mammalia; Chiroptera; Vespertilionidae
Source: Rfam